Molecule: ribosomal RNA, 158 nt
Filed under: Cronartium ribicola
Lineage: Eukaryota; Fungi; Basidiomycota; Pucciniomycetes; Pucciniales; Coleosporiaceae
Description: 5.8S ribosomal RNA
Rfam family: 5.8S ribosomal RNA
About the family: 5.8S ribosomal RNA (5.8S rRNA) is a component of the large subunit of the eukaryotic ribosome. It is transcribed by RNA polymerase I as part of the 45S precursor that also contains 18S and 28S rRNA.
Source: RNAcentral
UAACUUUUAACAAUGGAUCUCUUGGCUCUCACAUCGAUGAAGAACACAGGGAAAUGUGAUAAGUAAUGUGAAUUGCAGAAUUCAGUGAAUCAUUGAAUCUUUGAACGCACCUUGCACCUUUUGGUAUUCCAAAAGGUACACCUGUUUGAGUGUCAUGA